RNAcentral lists this ribosomal RNA (253 nucleotides) under uncultured bacterium. Its description in RNAcentral is "partial 16S ribosomal RNA". It matches the Rfam family "Bacterial small subunit ribosomal RNA", at positions 524 to 776 of the family's 1533-position model. The record is from RNAcentral.
UACGUAGGGUGCGAGCGUUAAUCGGAAUUACUGGGCGUAAAGCGUGCGCAGGCGGUUUUGUAAGCCAGAUGUGAAAUCCCCGGGCUCAACCUGGGAAUGGCAUUUGAGACUGCUCUGCUCGGGUGCGGAAGAGGGAAGCGGAAUUUCCGGUGUAGCGGUGAAAUGCGUAGAUAUCGGAAGGAACACCAGUGGCGAAAGCGGCUUCCUGGUCCGACACCGACGUUCAGGCACGAAAGCGUGGGGAGCAAACAGG